Molecule: long non-coding RNA, 1986 nt
Filed under: Podarcis muralis (Common wall lizard)
Lineage: Eukaryota; Metazoa; Chordata; Lepidosauria; Squamata; Lacertidae
Description: lncRNA (ENSPMRG00000002246.1)
Source: RNAcentral
CUUUGACACAUUUCUUGGGAGUGGUGGAACCCAGCGGGACUUACACCUGCGUAAAAAUUGCUAUAUGAAUGUGCCGCACCUGCUCCAAAUACGCAUCCUCUCUGUCCACCUCAUAAAGCUAGUGAAAGCGUGGUAAGCAAAGGCAAAAAGGUCAUAGGAUAUGCCUGUGGAACGAAGCAGUAGAGGAAUGCCGUGCUCAGCGCGCCCACUCGCCUCACAAAGGUUGAGGGCAAAUUAUCCCACCCGCCCUUUAGGUUGAGGUCCUGAACGCCUGCAGCGGGACUCAGGCGUCGCUUUUAUUCCUGUCUCCUGGUACUGAACACAACAAAGCGGCGGCGGGAGGGCAGAUACCUAUAUGUGCGUGUGCUGUGUAUUAUUGCUGUAGCGACGUCCUGUUAUGUGCUAUUUAUAGACAUUUAUAGACACUAGCAGGGCGAAGCCGGGGAAGUGAGCAAGCAAGGAGACUACGUUUCCCAGAGUGCACUGCCGCAAGAAGCGCCUCACCUCGCCUGCGCAGUAUUCGGGUUGCAGCUCCGGCGGCCUGCAGGGAGCGUUGUAUCCUGAAGGUUGACAUUGCUGUGAAUGUGGACAGGGCAGGCUAUGUGAGCGCCCCCUCCUCCUCCUCCUCCGCAGGCUAUGAUAGAUACCCAUGAAAAACCCUUCUCUAAUCAGCUGUUGUCAUUUCACCCAUUUCUGCUGGGAGGCAAGAGCAAGGGAACCUGGAGUGGAUGGACCUCCUCCAGGUCUACAUUCUCCUUCCUUAACUGUACCAUCUCCUAGAAGAGGAGAGCAGCCCAAAUUCACACCCAGAAUGUUUUGCGCACUGCCUGGGGGUGACAGGCAGGCAUGACAGUUGUCAGCAGGGAUUCAACCUUGGAUUUUCUCUGCCAGAACUACAACUCUCAGAAACGUAAGACUGUCUAUAAUCAGUGGAGCGAGUCUUUGAAACCGGGCCCGAUCACAUCUUGCACAGCUAGUGAAUGGCAGGAAGACAUCUGAUAAUAGAAGCCAUGGCAGUUUGAUCCUCAAAGCACCCACUCUCUCAGCCCAUUAAAACGAAUGCCUGAGCUGUAACGAUGGCACCUUGAGAGACAGCGCCGUAAUAUAUUUCUAAGGUGGUCAGAGGAGAACAAUGCAAUAAAUAAAAAAGACAAUAUAUGUGUAAAGCCACCUUUUUUGAAUGUUGCUGCUGUGGUGCUUUUAUUUUAAUCUCUGAAGCUUCAGGUAAAGAGUGUCAAGUACAGUUGUACUGAAAACUAGCAACCACUUGAGCAUGACAGAUUUACAGAACUUAAAUGUUUCCACUGUGGCUUUUUGUUGAAUGCCCAGUUGCUUGUCUGCUUAGAGAACCACUUGUUCAAACAAUAGCAGAUGAAAAUGCCCAUACAGUAUUGUAAACCAGAAAUCAUUAUUUUUCAUCCUAUGGCUUUGCUCCGACAGUCAUUGCAAAAAGGUUGCCAUUUUAUUUUUAUUUCCAUUCAAGUGCCCUGUAUUAAUGUGGUUUUAUGCACUUUUUAAUCCUUAAAAAGUUUAACACCUAUGAAACCUAUGCCCAAAUGACCUACCUCUUCAGAUUAUGCAUCCUACUUGUGGGCCGAGAGACUGAGGAAAACCUUUCAUUGAACUUCUCCAAGGCAAAGUGAGCUCUUCCGUUGGAUUCUCUGGGGUGGGACUCACUGUUAGCUGUGAGAGUAGCACAACUUCUUUCCCUAACCGUUUUCUUGUGUUGCUGCUGGUGCAAGUGGCAGGAACAGCCGUGUUGGCAGACUAUCCACAAUUUUGCACUUGCCACACUGCCUAGUGUAGUCCUGAGGGCAGUGUGUGUGUGUGUGUGUGUGUGUGUGUUAGGGAGGGCCAGAAGUGGCAGUUACUAUAAAAAAUGGUGGUGAACUUGUAGAGAAAAUCCUUUUUCUACGGGGACAGGGAGGGUGAGUAAAACAAAAAUUACCAUUUUUUUUUUCUUCAGAAAAACGUCUUCUGAAAAAU